RNAcentral lists this ribosomal RNA (768 nucleotides) under Clostridioides difficile. Its description in RNAcentral is "partial 23S ribosomal RNA". It matches the Rfam family "Bacterial large subunit ribosomal RNA", at positions 419 to 1189 of the family's 2925-position model. The record is from RNAcentral. Lineage: Bacteria; Bacillati; Bacillota; Clostridia; Peptostreptococcales; Peptostreptococcaceae.
GGGACACGUGAAACCCUGUGGGAAGCAGGAGGGACCACCCUCCAAGGCUAAAUACUACCUAGUGACCGAUAGCGUAUAGUACCGUGAGGGAAAGGUGAAAAGAACCCCGGGAGGGGAGUGAAAUAGAACCUGAAACCCUGCACUUACAAGCUGUGGAAGCACAUUUCUUGUGUGACCGCGUACUUUUUGUAGAACGGGCCAACGAGUUACGUUAAGUAGCAAGGUUAAGCACUUAAGGUGCGGAGCCGUAGCGAAAGCGAGUUUUAACUGAGCGUUCAGUUACUUGACGUAGACCCGAAACCGGGCGACCUACCCAUGAGCAGGAUGAAGCGAAAGUAAAAUUUCGUGGAGGUCCGAACCCACGAGCGUUGAAAAGCUCGGGGAUGACUUGUGGGUAGCGGUGAAAUUCCAAUCGAGCCCGGAGAUAGCUGGUUCUCCCCGAAAUAGCUUUAGGGCUAGCCUCAAGGUGAGAGAUACGGAGGUAGAGCACUGAAUGUCCUAGGGGGUAUUGCACCUACCGAAGACUAUCAAACUCCGAAUGCCGUCAUCUUAUACUUGGGAGUCAGACUGUGGGUGAUAAGAUUCAUAGUCGAAAGGGCAACAGCCCAGAUCGUCAGCUAAGGUCCCUAAAUGUAAGUUAAGUGGUAAAGGAUGUGGGAUUGCACAGACAACCAGGAUGUUGGCUUAGAAGCAGCCACUCAUUCAAAGAGUGCGUAAUAGCUCACUGGUCGAGUGAUCCUGCGCCGAAGAUUUCCGGGGCUAAAACUU